AGAGUUUGAUCAUGGCUCAGAUUGAACGCUGGCGGUAGGCUUAACACAUGCAAGUCGUGCGAGAAAGUACCUUCGGGUGCGAGUAGAGCGGCGGACGGGUGAGUAACGCGUAGGAAUCUACCUAGUAGAAGGGGAUAGCCCGGGGAAACUCGGAUUAAUACCGUAUACCUCCUUAGGGAGAAAGAGGGCUUAGCUUUGAUGCUCUCGCUAUUAGAUGAGCCUGCGUAAGAUUAGCUUGUUGGUGAGGUAAUGGCUCACCAAGGCGACGAUCUUUAGCUGGUCUGAGAGGACGAUCAGCCACAUUGGGACUGAGACACGGCCCAGACUCCUACGGGAGGCAGCAGUGGGGAAUAUUGGACAAUGGGCGCAAGCCUGAUCCAGCCAUACCGCGUGUGUGAAGAAGGCUUUCGGGUUGUAAAGCACUUUAAGUAAGGAGAAAAAGAUUGUAGUUAAUACCUGCAAUCCGUGAUGUUACUUACAGAAUAAGGACCGGCUAAUUCCGUGCCAGCAGCCGCGGUAAUACGGAAGGUCCAAGCGUUAAUCGGAAUUACUGGGCGUAAAGCGCGCGUAGGUGGUUUUUUAAGUUGGAUGUGAAAGCCCUGGGCUCAACCUAGGAACUGCAUCCAAAACUAGAUGACUAGAGUACGAAAGAGGGAAGUAGAAUUCACAGUGUAGCGGUGGAAUGCGUAGAUAUUGUGAAGAAUACCAAUGGCGAAGGCAGCUUCCUGGUUCUGUACUGACACUGAGGUGCGAAAGCGUGGGUAGCGAACAGGAUUAGAUACCCUGGUAGUCCACGCCGUAAACGAUGACAACUAGCUGUUGGGAGACAAGAUCUCU
Molecule: ribosomal RNA, 837 nt
Filed under: marine metagenome
Description: bacterial SSU rRNA
Rfam family: Bacterial small subunit ribosomal RNA
Source: RNAcentral